This 84-nucleotide transfer RNA is filed under the name Candidatus Nealsoniibacteriota bacterium. RNAcentral describes it as "Candidatus Nealsonbacteria bacterium tRNA-Tyr". It matches the Rfam family "tRNA". From Rfam's summary of the family: Transfer RNA (tRNA) molecules are approximately 80 nucleotides in length. Their secondary structure includes four short double-helical elements and three loops (D, anti-codon, and T loops). Further hydrogen bonds mediate the characteristic L-shaped molecular structure. tRNAs have two regions of fundamental functional importance: the anti-codon, which is responsible for specific mRNA codon recognition, and the 3' end, to which the tRNAs corresponding amino acid is attached (by aminoacyl-tRNA synthetases). tRNAs cope with the degeneracy of the genetic code in two manners: having more than one tRNA (with a specific anti-codon) for a particular amino acid; and 'wobble' base-pairing, i.e. permitting non-standard base-pairing at the 3rd anti-codon position. Lineage: Bacteria; Candidatus Nealsoniibacteriota. The record is from RNAcentral.
GGGUGGUUGGCUGAGUAGACAAAGGCACCACGCUGUAAACGUGGCGGUCUCUGACCUUCGGGGGUGCAAAUCCCUCACCACCCA